UACAGAGACUGCAAGCGUUCUUCGGAUUCACUGGGCGUAAAGGGUGCGCAGGCUGCCAAGUGUGUUAGGCGUGAAAGCCCGGGGCUUAACCCCGGAAUUGCACCUAAAACUACAUGGCUAGAGCAUUGGAGAGGGUAGCAGAAUUCAUGGUGUAGCAGUGAAAUGCGUAGAUAUCAUGAGGAAUACCAGAGGCGAAGGCGGCUACCUGGACAAUUGCUGACGCUCAGGCACGAAAGCGUGGGGAGCAAAAGGG
Molecule: ribosomal RNA, 253 nt
Filed under: uncultured bacterium
Lineage: Bacteria
Description: partial 16S ribosomal RNA
Rfam family: Bacterial small subunit ribosomal RNA
Source: RNAcentral